This is a small nucleolar RNA of Lolium perenne, 121 nucleotides long. RefSeq annotates it as small nucleolar RNA SNORD14. NCBI's taxonomy places the organism in Eukaryota, Viridiplantae, Streptophyta, Magnoliopsida, Poales, Poaceae. The record is from RefSeq and is a predicted model, not a curated record.
UUCAAAUGAUGAUGAAAUCAAGGCUUGUUUCUCAACACAUUCGUAGGUGCCGCCUAAGAGCUUUUUCCCUGCCAUGCUUGAGAGUUAUUGCUGCUAGAUGCUUCUAUCGAUGUCUUACGCA